This 86-nucleotide transfer RNA is filed under the name Sphingomonas koreensis. RNAcentral's name for it is "tRNA-Leu". It matches the Rfam family "tRNA". From Rfam's summary of the family: Transfer RNA (tRNA) molecules are approximately 80 nucleotides in length. Lineage: Bacteria; Pseudomonadati; Pseudomonadota; Alphaproteobacteria; Sphingomonadales; Sphingomonadaceae. The record is from RNAcentral.
GCGGACGUGGCGAAAUCGGUAGACGCAGCGGACUUAAAAUCCGCUUCCCGAAGGGAGUGCGGGUUCAAGUCCCGCCGUCCGCACCA